UUUUAAAUAGUGUAAUUUCUAAACACUUAACAUUUUCAUUGUUAAAAUUCUCUUUGAUUUAAAUU
RNAcentral lists this transfer RNA (65 nucleotides) under Amblyomma javanense. RNAcentral's name for it is "tRNA-Gln". Lineage: Eukaryota; Metazoa; Arthropoda; Arachnida; Ixodida; Ixodidae. The record is from RNAcentral.